Molecule: transfer RNA, 78 nt
Filed under: Candidatus Cloacimonadota bacterium
Lineage: Bacteria; Pseudomonadati; Candidatus Cloacimonadota
Description: Candidatus Cloacimonetes bacterium (marine metagenome) tRNA-Pro
Rfam family: tRNA
About the family: Transfer RNA (tRNA) molecules are approximately 80 nucleotides in length.
Source: RNAcentral
CGGGAUGUAGCGCAGCUCGGCUAGCGCGCUUCGUUCGGGACGAAGAGGUCGUCGGUUCAAAUCCGACCAUCCCGACCA